GACAGAGUUGAGGCUCUUAAAAGAGUAGAGUGGAAAAUUAAGCAUUAUUUCUAUUAAAAACCAUGACAGGGUGAAUCUAUAACGACUCUGUUUCUAAAAAUAUCGGUGACAGGGUUACGGCUUCAUAACGGGAAAGUUGGACCUAUAAAGCAUCAUUUUCAUAAGUUGUCAUGACAGAGUGGAUCUAAACGGAUCGAUAUAUGUAUGCAUGCCGCACAGAUAUAGAAAAAAGAAGUGGAUAUUACCUCAAUGAAAAUAUACAACAAUGGAAGAAGUUUAUUUAAUGGGUUAUUAUGUGAAUAAGUGGAAACAAAGGACCGAGAAAUCUACAACAGAAGUCCAAGGCCCACAG
Long non-coding RNA from Magallana angulata, 352 nucleotides. RefSeq lists it as uncharacterized. The transcript is spliced from 3 exons. The record is from RefSeq and is a predicted model, not a curated record. Lineage: Eukaryota; Metazoa; Mollusca; Bivalvia; Ostreida; Ostreidae.